Molecule: long non-coding RNA, 2314 nt
Filed under: Nicotiana benthamiana
Lineage: Eukaryota; Viridiplantae; Streptophyta; Magnoliopsida; Solanales; Solanaceae
Description: long non-coding RNA (NBEN_LNC010038)
Source: RNAcentral
AGUAAUGAGACAUAUGAACGAAAAAGGUGUAGAGCCUAAUAUAUUCACUUACAAUGUGAUGAUGGAUGGAUAUUGUUUGCGUGGUCAAAUGGAUAGAGCGAGGAGAAUUUUGGAUUUCAUGAUAGAUAAGUGCAUUGAACCUGACAUUAUUAGCUAUAGCAUACUAAUAAAUGGAUAUUGUAAGAAAAAGAAGUUGGAUGAGGCCAUGCAAAUGUUUCGUAAAAUUUCUCAAAAGAGACCAAAACCUAAUAUGGUUACCUACAAUACUAUCUUGCAAGGUCUGUUUGAAGUUGGAAGAAUUGGCAAUGCAAAACAGGUAUUCGCGGAGAUGUUAUUUACGGGGACCAUACCUGAUUUAUGCACUCACACCACUUUGCUCAAUGGUUAUUUUAAGUAUGGACUUGUUGAAGAAUCUAUGUCUUAUUUUAAUAAGUUGGAAAUAAAGAGAGUAAGUACAGAUAUUGGAUUUUACAAUGCUGUCAUUAAUGGAUUGUGCAAAAAUGGUGAACUCGACAAAGCUCAUGCUAUUUUUGAGAAGCUUUCUAUAAUGGGGUUGCUUCCUAAUUCAAGAACAUACACUACAAUGAUAACUGGAUUUUGUUUGAAAGGAUUGUUAGAUGAAGCUAAAGCUAUGCUAAGAAAAAUGGGGGACAACGGUUAUUUGCCAAAUGAGGUCACUUACAGUGUUAUUGUGCAAGGGUAUCUCAGGUGUAGCAAAAUUUGUGAAAUGGCAACUUUUAUAAAGGAAAUGGCUGGAAAGGGCUUCUCAUUUGAUGCAACUACAAUUGAGUUACUGAUAAAUGUUAUAAGGAAGAACCCUUCUGUCCUUGACAUGAUGCCACAUUUUCACUCGAAAAAUAAGAAGUGAAUAUUUCUUUCCCUUGGUUUAUUCACUAUCAUGAUACAAUUUCCGUUUAUCUCUGCGAAAGAAAUUCUACAAAAUUAGGGCACACCGAAAUUACCCAACUUUCCCAUCCGCUGGAAAAUUUCCAGCAAUUCACUGAGCGAAAUUCUUCAGCCAUUGACGAUGAAUAGAAUUUCUCUGCGUUGCGCUCGCAAUGGUAUUCCGUUUAUCUCUUUCAUUUCAAUUCGAACUUAUUCUUCCUGCAAUAGUAAUACAUCCAUUUGGGGUAAAUAGCAAAUUUGAGAACGUCAAGUGUUUAGAUGACGCUGUGAAUCUCUUCCGUCAAUUGGUCAGAAAUCAGCCUCUUCCGUCUCCUGUCGACUUCUCUAAAUUAUUUAAGACUAUGCUAAAUAUGAAGCAUUACUCUGCUGUUGUUUCUCUUUUUAUAGAAAUGCAGAAAUCGUAUAUCCAGAUCGAUGGGUUCAUCUUGAGUAUCGUGAUUGAUAGUUAUUGCCUGAUGCAUCGUGUUGAUUGUGGAUUUUCGGUGUUACCCGUUUACUUGAAGUAUGGCAUUCCAUUUAAUGUUGUCACCUUUAACACCCAAAUAAGGGGAUUUUUUGCUGAAGAUAAGGUCAAAGAUGCAGUUGAAUUGUUCAAAAAGUUGGUGAGGGAGAAGAUUUGUGAACCUAAUGAAGUCAUGUAUGCAACCGUUAUGAAUGGGCUCAACAAACGUGGUCAUACUGAAAAAGCUGUUAGUUUGCUCCGGUUAAUGGAACAAGGGAGCGCUAAGCCCGACGUAUUUAACUACAGCAUUGUCAUAGAUUCACUUUGCAAAGAUAGAAAUUUAGAUGCGGCUAUCAGCCUUUUGAACGAGAUGAAAAAGAAAGGCAUAUGUGCAGACAUAUUCACAUUUAAUUCAUUUGAUUGAUGGUUUGUGUAAGUUUGGUCAGUGGGAAAAGGUUAGGACUUUGUUCUCUGAGAUGUUGGACCUUAAUAUUUAUCCAGACGUGCGCACCUUCACCAUGGUGAUUGAUGGACUGUGCAAAGAAGGGAAAGUUGAAGAUGCCGAGGAAGUAAUGAUACAUAUGAACGAAAAAGGUGUAGAGCCUAAUAUAUUCACUUACAAUGUGAUGAUGGAUGGAUAUUGUUUGCGUGGUCAAAUGGAUGGAGCGAGGAGAAUUUUGGAUUUCAUGAUAGAUAAGUGCAUUGAACCUGACAUUAUUAGCUAUAGCAUACUAAUAAAUGGAUAUUGUAAGAAAAAGAAGUUGGAUGAGGCCAUGCAAAUGUUUCGUAAAAUUUCUCAAAAGAGACCAAAACCUAAUAUGGUUACCUACAAUACUAUCUUGCAAGGUCUGUUUGAAGUUGGAAGAAUUGGCAAUGCAAAACAGGUAUUCGCGGAGAUGUUAUUUACGGGGACCAUACCUGAUUUAUGCACUCACACCACUUUGCUCAAUGGUUAUUUUAAGUAUG